Molecule: ribosomal RNA, 357 nt
Filed under: Triticum aestivum (bread wheat)
Lineage: Eukaryota; Viridiplantae; Streptophyta; Magnoliopsida; Poales; Poaceae
Description: partial small subunit ribosomal RNA
Source: RNAcentral
AUGAGAGUGCGGGAAUGUGGGCCUCACCUCUUCUACAAAUGCGGCUACACACGAAGGCUUUGGUCUUUGAUCAUUGACAAAUAUCAUAUUCUCGGUCUUGACACCAACGGUUGGCCCCUGUUCGACUCUGUUGAGGCUUGGUGGGCAAGUACCCGCGACAACGCCGCGCCAAACCGCCAAGCCAAGGCGUCCCUCACCAUGCUUGUCUCAUGCAAGGAUGAAAAGCACUCCAUACACACCCGCAAGGAUGAUGAUCCAUCUGUUUCUAGGAUGGUGGGACUUGAGGUAUGCACCAGAAUCAAGGAUCUGCUACUUGAUGAAAUAUACAGGAGACUCUCCUAUUCAACAUUACGUUAA